RNAcentral lists this ribosomal RNA (471 nucleotides) under uncultured bacterium. RNAcentral's name for it is "SSU rRNA". It matches the Rfam family "Bacterial small subunit ribosomal RNA", at positions 26 to 518 of the family's 1533-position model. The record is from RNAcentral.
AGAGCGAACGCUGGCGGCAGGCCUAACACAUGCAAGUCGAGCGCCCGUAGCAAUACGGGAGCGGCAGACGGGAUAGUAACACGUGGGAACGCGCCCUUCGGUUCGGAAUAACUCAGGGAAACUUGAGCUAAUACCGGAUACGCCCUUACGGGGAAAGAUUUAUUGCCGAAGGAACGGCCCGCGUCCGAUUAGCUAGUUGGUGAGGUAAUGGCUCACCAAGGCGACGAUCGGUAGCUGGUCUGAGAGGAUGACCAGCAUCACUGGGACUGAGACACGGCCCAGACUCCUACGGGAGGCAGCAGUGGGGAAUAUUGGACAAUGGGCGCAAGCCUGAUCCAGCAAUGCCGCGUGUGUGAAGAAGGCCUUGGGUUGUAAAGCACUUUUAUCGGGAACGAAAUACUAACGGUUAAUAACCUGUGGGCUGACGGUACCCGAGGAAUAAGCACCGGCUAACUUCGCGUCAGCAGCCGC